Molecule: non-coding RNA, 476 nt
Organism: Nerophis lumbriciformis (worm pipefish)
Lineage: Eukaryota; Metazoa; Chordata; Actinopteri; Syngnathiformes; Syngnathidae
Source: RefSeq, a predicted model, not a curated record
CUUUUUUUCUAAAGAUAGUGUAUUGUAUAAGUAUUUCAGUACAUCAAUACUUAGACAUUGUAUCUUUAGAAGAAACUAAGUAUUUAUGUCGUUGUACUGUAGAACAUCAAUACAUAAACUUUCUUCUAAAGAUUAUGUAAGUAUUUCUCUCCUUGUAUUGUGUAGUACAUCAUUACUAAAACUGACUUCUAAUGAUAGCAUAUCAGUGUUCCUGUCCUUGCACAUCAAUACUUACACUUUCUCCUAAAGGUAUUGUUUUAUAGAAAGUACUGGAAUUAGUUACCGUGUACAAGAUGUAUUUACGGUAUAUUUUUAACUCCACUAUGUUAUACAUGUAUAAGUUUGUCUCUUGUCAUUCAAAGGGCUUCCAAGGAAGAGGUGGACCCAAAGGAGACUUUGGAGACCCUGGUGUGGAGGGGCUGGCUGGUGAGAAAGGUGAAAAGGGUAUGUCUGGAGAACCUGGCCCUAAAGGACAG